GAUGAACGCUGGCGGCGUGCCUAAUACAUGCAAGUCGAGCGAACAGACGAGGAUCUUGCUCCUCUUACGUUAGCGGCGGACGGGUGAGUAACACGUGGAUAACCUACCUAUAAGACUGGGAUAACUUCGGGAAACCGGAUCUAAUACCGGAUAAUAUAUUGAACCGCAUGGUUCAAUAGUGAAAGACGGUUUUGCUGUCACUUAUUGAUGGAUCCGCGCCGCAUUAGCUAGUUGGUAAGGUAACGGCUUACCAAGGCAACGAUGCGUAGCCGACCUGAGAGGGUGAUCGGCCACACUGGAACUGAGACACGGUCCAGACUCCUACGGGAGGCAGCAGUAGGGAAUCUUCCGCAAUGGGCGAAAGCCUGACGGAGCAACGCCGCGUGAGUGAUGAAGGUCUUCGGAUCGUAAAACUCUGUUAUUAGGGAAGAACAAAUGUGUAAGUAACUAUGCACGUCUUGACGGUACCUAAUCAGAAAGCCACGGCUAACUACGUG
Molecule: ribosomal RNA, 497 nt
Filed under: uncultured bacterium
Lineage: Bacteria
Description: partial 16S ribosomal RNA
Rfam family: Bacterial small subunit ribosomal RNA
Source: RNAcentral